AGGGAGCUUGACUGCGAGACCUACAAGUCGAGCAGGGACGAAAGUCGGGCUUAGUGAUCCGGUGGUUCCGCAUGGAAGGGCCAUCGCUCAACGGAUAAAAGCUACCCCGGGGAUAACAGGCUUAUCUCCCCCAAGAGUCCACAUCGACGGGGAGGUUUGGCACCUCGAUGUCGGCUCAUCGCAUCCUGGGGCUGUAGUCGGUCCCAAGGGUUGGGCUGUUCGCCCAUUAAAGCGGUACGCGAGCUGGGUUCAGAACGUCGUGAGACAGUUCGGUCCCUAUCCGUCGUGGGCGUAGGAAAUUUGAGAGGAGCUGUCCUUAGUACGAGAGGACCGGGAUGGACGCACCGCUGGUGUACCAGUUGUUCUGCCAAGGGCAUAGCUGGGUAGCUAUGUGCGGAAGGGAUAAGUGCUGAAAGCAUCUAAGCAUGAAGCCCCCCUCAAGAUGAGAUUUCCCAUAGCGUAAGCUAGUAAGAUCCCUGAAAGAUGAUCAGGUUGAUAGGUUCGAGGUGGAAGCAUGGUGACAUGUGGAGCUGACGAAUACUAAUAGAUCGAGGACUUAACCAU
This 564-nucleotide ribosomal RNA is filed under the name Escherichia coli. RNAcentral describes it as "bacterial LSU rRNA". It matches the Rfam family "Bacterial large subunit ribosomal RNA", at positions 2362 to 2925 of the family's 2925-position model. Lineage: Bacteria; Pseudomonadati; Pseudomonadota; Gammaproteobacteria; Enterobacterales; Enterobacteriaceae. The record is from RNAcentral.